This 292-nucleotide ribosomal RNA is filed under the name uncultured bacterium. RNAcentral describes it as "partial 16S ribosomal RNA". The record is from RNAcentral.
GGACUACCAGGGUUUCUAAUCCCGUUUGCUCCCCUGGCUUUCGUGUCUCAGUGUCAGGAUACCCCCAGCGAGCUGUUUUCACCAUUGGCGUUCCAAAUGAUAUCUACGCAUUUCACCGCUCCACCAUUUGUUCCGCUCGCCCCUAGGUACCUCAAGACCCGCAGUAUAUCGAGCAGUUCCACGGUUGAGCCGUGGGAUUUCACAAGAUACUUACAGAUCCACCUACACACGCUUUAAGCCCAGUGAUUCCGCCUAACGCUUGGCACCUCUGUCUUACCGCGGCUGCUGGCAC